This 891-nucleotide ribosomal RNA is filed under the name uncultured bacterium. RNAcentral describes it as "bacterial SSU rRNA". It matches the Rfam family "Bacterial small subunit ribosomal RNA", at positions 66 to 921 of the family's 1533-position model. The record is from RNAcentral.
ACGAACUCUGGUAUUGAUUGGUGCUUGCAUCAUGAUUUACAUUUGAGUGAGUGGCGAACUGGUGAGUAACACGUGGGAAACCUGCCCAGAAGCGGGGGAUAACACCUGGAAACAGAUGCUAAUACCGCAUAACAACUUGGACCGCAUGGUCCGAGUUUGAAAGAUGGCUUCGGCUAUCACUUCUGGAUGGUCCCGCGGCGUAUUAGCUAGAUGGUGAGGUAACGGCUCACCAUGGCAAUGAUACGUAGCCGACCUGAGAGGGUAAUCGGCCACAUUGGGACUGAGACACGGCCCAAACUCCUACGGGAGGCAGCAGUAGGGAAUCUUCCACAAUGGACGAAAGUCUGAUGGAGCAACGCCGCGUGAGUGAAGAAGGGUUUCGGCUCGUAAAACUCUGUUGUUAAAGAAGAACAUAUCUGAGAGUAACUGUUCAGGUAUUGACGGUAUUUAACCAGAAAGCCACGGCUAACUACGUGCCAGCAGCCGCGGUAAUACGUAGGUGGCAAGCGUUGUCCGGAUUUAUUGGGCGUAAAGCGAGCGCAGGCGGUUUUUUAAGUCUGAUGUGAAAGCCUUCGGCUCAACCGAAGAAGUGCAUCGGAAACUGGGAAACUUGAGUGCAGAAGAGGACAGUGGAACUCCAUGUGUAGCGGUGAAAUGCGUAGAUAUAUGGAAGAACACCAGUGGCGAAGGCGGCUGUCUGGUCUGUAACUGACGCUGAGGCUCGAAAGUAUGGGUAGCAAACAGGAUUAGAUACCCUGGUAGUCCAUACCGUANACGAUGAAUGCUAAGUGUUGGAGGGUUUCCGCCCUUCAGUGCUGCAGCUAACGCAUUAAGCAUUCCGCCUGGGGAGUACGGCCGCAAGGCUGAAACUCAAAGGAAUUGACGGGGGCC